UUGCAUAUCCAAUAGCGGAGGAAAAGAAACUAACAAGGAUUCCCCUAGUAACGGCGAGUGAAGAGGGAAGAGCCCAAGUUUGAAAGCUGGCGUCUUCGGCGUCCGCAUUGUAAACUCGAGAAGCGUUUUCCGCGCCGGACCAAGCUCAAGUCCCUUGGAAUAGGGCAUCAUAGAGGGUGAGAGUCCCGUACUUGGCUUGGAGUCCCCGGGGCUUUGUGAUACGCUCUCCAAGAGUCGAGUUGUUUGGGAAUGCAGCUCAAAAUGGGUGGUAAAUGCCAUCUAAGGCUAAAUAUCGAGGAGAGACCGAUAGCGAACAAGUACCGUGAGGGAAAGAUGAAAAGAACUUUGGAAAGAGAGUUAAACAGUACGUGAAAUUGCCGGAAGGGAAGGGUAGGGAGUCAGAUAUGCUGUGCGGAUUCAGCCUUGUCUUUGGACUUGGUGUAUUUUCGUAUUGGCAGGCCAGCAUCGGUUUGUGCCGCUGGAUAUAGGCUUGGGGAAUGUGGCUUUGUCUUCGGUCAAAGUGUUAUAGCCCCUUGCUGAGUACAGCGGCAUGGACCGAGGCACGCAGCGCACCCUCUGGGCGGGCCCUCGGGCACCUUUGCGCUUAGGAUGCUGGCUUAAUGGCUCUCUGCCACCCGUCUU
This 642-nucleotide ribosomal RNA is filed under the name Fereydounia khargensis. Its description in RNAcentral is "eukaryotic LSU rRNA". It matches the Rfam family "Eukaryotic large subunit ribosomal RNA", at positions 36 to 655 of the family's 3401-position model. The record is from RNAcentral. Lineage: Eukaryota; Fungi; Basidiomycota; Ustilaginomycetes; Urocystidales; Fereydouniaceae.